GCCUGGUUAGCUCAGUUAGUAGUGGACCAAACUUUUAAUCUGAGGGACCAGAGUUCAAGUCCCUGAUCAGGUA
Molecule: non-coding RNA, 73 nt
Organism: Chelonia mydas (Green sea turtle)
Lineage: Eukaryota; Metazoa; Chordata; Testudines; Cheloniidae
Source: Rfam